Molecule: long non-coding RNA, 986 nt
Organism: Tetranychus urticae (two-spotted spider mite)
Lineage: Eukaryota; Metazoa; Arthropoda; Arachnida; Trombidiformes; Tetranychidae
Source: RefSeq, a predicted model, not a curated record
AAUGCUUUUUGGUUGACAAGUGGACUUUAACUAACCCAGCCCAAGAGCAUUAAUUAAGAGCGUUGGACACAGUUAAUAAAUUAGAAUUGAUUUAACCAUUUAAUUUUGCUGUAAAACCAACAAAGGUCAAUAUUUAUCGGCUGAAUGAGUUUACUUUCUUUUCAGUGCGGAAAUAUUUUUAAAUAUAUUAAAAGGGUUUUCAAUUUUAGCGCUCAUUAUAUUGAACUUAUUAUAAAAAGGGUUUCCAUGUUCACACAACACGGUUAGUGAUAUGUUUUGGUGUUUGUUUGAAAGGGAAAAGUUAAUGACCUUUUGUUGUGUUAAUUAUCCAUUUGGCUCAACUUUAUUAAUCCAAUUCAUCUGAGCCAGCUGUAAACUGGUGCUAGCUGAUCUGUCAACUUGCAUGGCAAACCUGAAAAUGAUUCAUCGUCGGACAAUCAAUAAGGCUAUUUUGGAUUAAACCUGUUUUUAACCCAAAUUAUUAAAAUAGCAAUGAUUUGAGCCACUCUCUUAAUCAACCUACCCCAAGAUAAUUCUUAAGGUUCUACAUGAUAAUUCAUUAUCUUAUUACACUCAAUUUACUGUUGAUUGUCCUUUUCUUCAAUAUCAAGGUAAUUUUUCACAAUCAACAGCAAAAACAUAUAUUGAAUGUGAUGAUUGGCAGAUUCUUGAUUCUUUAAUUCAAACAAUCCUUGGCCAUACUCAUGCGAAUCACCUUAAAUGAUGAAACGAUGACAUUUUUUUUGUCAAACAAAAAUCAGAACAAUCCGGUUUAAAUGUUCAACUAUGAAAUCAAGUAUCAUCAUUAUUAGAGGUAAAAGGUGCUCAAAAAACUAUUGUAUUAUUUGACUCGGGCGAGUGACUUUUGCAAAUCUAAUCUUACAUUCACUAUCAUCUUGGCAAAGGCCAACAAUUUGGAAGACUACAAUUAACGCAAGUUUUUACUUUUCGCACUAAUCCUGAUAUUAAAUCACAACUUAAAUUGA